GUGCCCACUUUGGCAGUACAUAUACCAAAAAUUGGAACGAUGCAGAGAUUGGCACGGCCCCUGCGCAGGGAUGACACGAAAAUUGGUGAAGCGACCCAUAUUUAA
Small nuclear RNA from Callithrix jacchus (white-tufted-ear marmoset), 105 nucleotides. Lineage: Eukaryota; Metazoa; Chordata; Mammalia; Primates; Cebidae. The record is from Ensembl.